GAUGAACGCUGGCGGCGUGCCUAAUACAUGCAAGUCGAACGAACAGACGAGGAUCUUGCUCCUCUCACGUUAGCGGCGCGCGGGUGAGUAACACGUGUAUAACCUCCCUAUCAUUCUGGUAACAUUUCGAAAAACCGGAGCUAAUACCGGAUAAUAUAUUGAACCGCAUGGUGCAUUGGUAAAUUUCGGUUUUGCUGUCUCUUAUAGAUGCAUCCGUGCCGCAUUAGCUAGUUGGUAAGGUAACGGCCUACCAAGGCAACGAUGCGUAGCCGACCUGAGAGGGGGAUCGGCCACACUGGAACUGAGACACGGUCCAGACUCCUACGGGAGGCAGCAGUAGGGAAUCUUCCGCAAUGGGCGAAAGCUUGACGGAGCAACGCCGCGUGAGUGAUGAAGGUCUUCGGAUCGUAAAACUCUGUUAUUAGGGAAGAACAAAUGUGUAAGUAACUAUGCACGUCUUGACGGUACCUAAUCAGAAAGCCACGGCUAACUACGUG
Molecule: ribosomal RNA, 497 nt
Filed under: uncultured bacterium
Lineage: Bacteria
Description: partial 16S ribosomal RNA
Rfam family: Bacterial small subunit ribosomal RNA
Source: RNAcentral